Caenorhabditis elegans is the source of this 137-nucleotide non-coding RNA. NCBI's taxonomy places the organism in Eukaryota, Metazoa, Nematoda, Chromadorea, Rhabditida, Rhabditidae. The record is from Ensembl.
GGAGAAGAUGAAAUGAUAAAAACGCUUGGUGAACAACUGUGCUUUCGUUUUGGUUGGGGGAAGGGACCUGAAAGAGAAGAUUUGUGGCUGUGGAAGAGAUAUAACGACACUUUGUUUUGAAAUUUGUCACUCGUGUU